UUAUCCUAAGCUCUUUCUUCUUCUUGUUCAAGGCAAAUUAAUCAAACAUUAUGGGUGUCUAUACCUUUACUGAUGAGUCCACAGCCUCAGUUGUCCCAUCAAGGCUAUUCAAAGCUUUGGUUAUUGAUUUUAACAACCUUGUGUCUAAAUUGAUACCUGAUGUUGAGAGCAUUGAGAAUGUUGAGGGUGAUGGUGGUCCUGGUACCAUCAAGAAGAUCACUUUUGUCGAAGGUUUGUUUUAUGUUUGUUUUUUGAGUGUUCGAUAUUUAUAUUGGAACUCGUCUUGUUGGUUACUUACAUAAUCGAUUCUGAGAAAUAAUCCUCCAAAAUAAUUUUUACACCAGUAGAUCAUCUUUAUUUGUUGAAACAAUAAUAUAUCUUGAAAGCUACAAAUAGAGGUAAUAAAAUUAGUCCAUAAAUAAAUUGAAUCAAUAUAUCCAUCUUAAGUUUGGGCACAUGUUAUUUGACCCGAUCAUUUAUUAACUCAAUCAGUCAAAACUUAGCUAAUAUGUAGCCCAAAUCAAUUCCCAUGAAAUCUUAUCAGAAUAUUUUUCAAAAUGAUAUUUUUUAAAUUGAUGUAUAUAAUCACAAUUAAGGGUGGGCAUGAUAUGGUAUAUACCGAAUUACCAUACUAAACCAAAUUUUUUGAUACCGUGGUUUUUGGUAUUAUGGUAUUUGGUAUGGUAUAUAGUAUACAUUUUAAAUUUUUUUGAUAUAUGAUAUGGUAUACGGUAUUUACAAAUGACAUAGCGAAAUACCGAAUACCAUACCGAAGUAUAUAUAGUUACAUAAGUAAAGUAUACAAAAAAAAAAUACUUAGUAUUAGUAUAAAAAUGUUUAGACUUUGAAACUGUCGCUACUCUAUCUUGAUUGAAAUGUCUUUUUGGUGUAAUUGACUAAUAAAAGGAAUUGUUUGUACUUCUUUUUCAAUAUUUCUACAUGUGUAAUGCAUUUUUAUGAUACAAUUAAGACAUGCUUUUGAAAAGUCGAAGUAAUAAUACUCUAAUAUACGAUAUAUAUUAUCAAAGUUAAACAAACUAUGGUUACCGAUUACCAUACCACAAAAUAUUGAGACCAAACGUCAAAAUGCCGAACUAUACCGAAUUAAUAUGGUAUAGUAAUGGUAUAAUAUUUUUAAAAAUCGAAUAAUGAAAUUAUCGUAUCAAAAUUUCAAAUACGUAUCAUACCAUACCAUGCCCACCCCUAAUCACAAUAAAGAAAAAUACAGUUUUAUAAGGUAGUACUAAAAAUUAUACAAAACAAAUAAAGUAAUUACAACUAGUAAUAAUUGGACAAAUUUGGUUAUGACUUGCAUUUAGAUCCAUAUCAGCUCAACUAUGGAUGGGUCAAAACUCACUCAUCUAUUUCCUCCGUUUCAAAAUAACUGACCCUUAUUAAUUUGAUAUACCUCUUAUUAAGAAAAUAUUUAUUAGAAAUUUAUUUUACUAAAUUAACCUUAUUAAUUAUACUUUAAAAAUAUAAAUUUGAAUAUAUACACUCCAUUUAGUAAUUUAAUGAUACGGAUAGUAUUGGAAGAACAUAAUAAAAUCCUCUUGAUUUCGUCAAAGAGGCAAUUAAAUUGAAAUAAAUAUUUUUAGAAAAAAAAAAUCAACUAAAACAAAAUGGAGGGAGCAUUAACUCAACCUAUUUUGGCCGUCCAAAUUUAAAAUUCACUCCGCUCAUUUAACACCUCCAUUUAUAAAUAUCCUUGACCUUUUAGUAUUAUAUUUACACUAAUAAUGUAUGAAACUUAAUCCUUUUUGUUAAUGACAGGUGGUCCAAUGAAGUACUUGAAGCACAAGAUUCAUGUGAUUGACGACAAGAACUUAGUAACAAAAUAUUCACUUAUCGAAGGUGAUGCUCUUGCGGACAAAGCAGAAUCAGUUGACUAUGAUGCCAAAUUAGAAGGUUCUGCAAAUGGAGGAUGUGUUGCAACCACAGUAACUGUGUACCACACAAAAGGUGACUAUGUUGUUACUGAGGAAGAACACAAUGUGCACAAAGGGAGAGCCAAUGACAUUGUCAAGGCCAUCGAAGCGUACCUCCUCGCCAAUCCUUCUGCCUACGCUUAAAUAAUGAAAAGAAAAUUGUGUGUUGUUGUGUCUUGUAUUUAUUAUUAAAUAAGUAAAAGUUGUUGUGCCUAAGAAGUUCAAAGAUUUAGAUGAGACGAAAAAAACUGAUUGAUUAUAUAUGGAGUUGUAUCAAAUUCUUCCAUGGGAUUGAAUUUUACAUUGUUAAGUCUUUUAUUGAUUGUGUGUUUUCAGUUGUAUGUCAUGGAAAGAACUUUCAAUAAAGAGUAUCACGAGUUUAGUUAUCGAAUGCUUCUCCUAAACCUCACAUGUAUAGUUAGAUUAGAUUCAUGAUUUAAAUUUUAUAAAUUUUGUACUACGGUUAUAGUUUAAUUCCGUCAAAUUAUUUUAUUUAAGUAACUUUUGAGCCAAUUUUAAUCCAACAAAUUUAUUAAUUCAAUUCAUUUUGAUCCACUCAAACCAGCUCAACACAUCCAUUUGAAUUCAAAACCUUUAAUUGACAAUAAAGAAACACUUACUACCACACGCGAUCGGCAGUGGUGGAGCUACACUUGCAAUAGGGGUUCAUCCGAACCCCCUUCGAUGAAAAAUUAUACUAUAUAUACAUGGUUAAAAUUAUUUUUUAUGUAUAUAUAGUAGAUGUCGAAUCCCCUUCAGUUAGUUCGUAGAUUCACUUGUAAACCUCUUCAAUAAAAAUUCUAGCUUCGCCACUGACGAUCGGUGAACCAACAAUAUGUUAGUAAGCAUGAUCAAUUUGUGCUUUGGCUUGGCCACAUGACAUAUAUACAUGGUUAAAAUUAUUUUUUAUGUAUAUAUAGUAGAUGUCGAACCCCCUUCAGUUAGUUCGUAGAUUCACUUGUAAACCUCUUUUAUAAAAAUUCUAGCUUCACCACUGACGAUCGGUGAACCAACAAUAUGUUAGUAAGCAUGAUCAAUUUGUGUUUUGGCUUGGCCACAUGACAUAUAUUAUUUCCAUCUUCGAUAGUCUAUAGUUUCCUCACUUUAUAGGAUAACUUACAUCUGUUGAGGUAUAAAAUUUUGUAUAUGUUCGUGUUAUACUAGUUUAGUUUAGCUGCAGGUGUCUCACAUGUGUAACGUUGAUUAUUUAAAAUUAAAUAAUUUUAUUUAUUGCAGAAAUUUUUAAUAAAGUGUAGAAGUUUAAAUCACUUUUCAAAGAUUCUUCACACUUUAAUAUAAUAAUGUAAACAUAAAUAUAUUUUUUAGUGUAAGCACAUAUAUAUUUUACAUCAUCACUUUUACAUUUUGAUUACAUUCUUAUUACGUGCUUAAAACUUUUAAAAAAUUGGUACUUCUUAAAUUUUUCUUCUUUCAACGCGUUUACAUUUCUUUCUAAAUUUUUCAAAUCUUCUUUAAAUCAAAUUUAAUUGAUUUAGAAUUCUAAAAUUAAUGAAAAAAAUAUCAGUUGUCAUUAAUUCUCAUGACUUCUAAUAAGCUAAGGUUUUAUCAUAAAUAUAUUUGACUAAUUUUCAACUCUUAAAUAUCAAGAAAAAAUAGUGAAAAAAUAAUUUUAUCUAAAACAAAAACUUUUAAUGAAAGUUAAAAAGUUCAAACGACAUUUUUAAGAUUGUUCAUACUUUUGAUAUAUUAUAGAUAUAGAUAUGAGGUGUAUUAUUUAUGAAUAAAUUAUUCUGGUCAUGGGUGGAUCUACGGGGAACCCCUAUCCGUUAUUAUAGAUCUCAAAAAUAUAUUUAAAAAAUAGAAGAAGGCAAUAAAAAUUUAUAGAUAAGAACUCAUAAAUAAAUUGGAGGUUGGCUUGAUGAGAUAGAAAAAAACCCUUCUAAUUAAUUGCUUAUGUGUCCACGUUAACAUGGGGUCGAUCCUUGAUGGGAUUGUCCUUUUUAUGGUGUUUAAUUUACAAUUUAGAAACUCACUUAACUAAUAUCCGUUUAAGUUAUGAAGGAAUCUAUGUAUUAUUUUAUGUAAAAUAGAAGGUGGAAUAAAUAAUACAUGUAUAACUAAUACAUGAAAAAUUAAUUCUUAUAUAAUUCUAUUUUAAUUUAAAACAGGUCCCAAAUUGGACAAAUUAUUUUGGACGUUAUAAUCACAACAAGAGCUAGUAAAGACGGAAUAUAUUAUAGUCAUUGACUAACAGGAUCCCUAUCUUUACUAAGAGAUUUGGAUUUUAGCUUCUGAGAAUGAAAGAAAUUAUGUGGAAAAUCGUUGCCCUUAAAAUUAAAUUUGUAGCAUUCAAAUUUAAUCGAGCGAAUAUCAAAGAUUGGGUAUAUUUUGAUUUAAAUCGCAAAAAGUCAAAUCGAAAAUUAAUUUUGGUUUCGAUUUUUUGAUUUUUCAAAUUGGUUUUAACUUCAAAUUUUUUAAAUUCGAUUAAACGGUUUGGUUUUCAAUAACCCUAAUAAUAAGUAACCCUAAUCUUACGAUUUACGUACCUAAAUUCAUGGCUUGUGGUAUUUUUGUGGUGAUUAUUAGAAUUUAUAGUCGUUGACUUGUAGAUUUGUGAAUUGAUAGAUAACAUUGGAAGCAACAACAACUUUUCAUAUUCUUGUUGUAUUGCUGCUUUCCAUAUUUUCUUAAGUCUUACUCCCUUCAUUUCAUUUUAGUUGAUUUUCUUUCUAAAAAUAUUUGUCUCAAUUUAGUUGUCUCAUUGACGAAAUCAAAAGGAUUUUAACAUGUUCUUCCAAUAAUAUCCUUAUCAUCAAAUGACUAAACAAGUUGCAUAUAUUCAAAUUUAUAUUUUCAAAGCAUAAUUAAUAAGGUUAAUUUGGUAAAAUAGCCCCCUAAUAAAUAUUUUUUUUAAUGGGUAUGUCAAGGCAAUAGAGACCAACAAAAAUGAAACAGAGGGAGUAUAUAAUAAGCGACACCUGUGAUGCUUGAUGUGUUUGUAUCAUCAACAUGUCUGUAUCAUCGAUAUGUUUGCUUGGUAUUUCACGAGGAAUUGACAUAGAUGUACAACAUUUCAAAAUCAAUCAUGACAAAGGAAUGUUCGCUACUUUAAUCUUCAAAGCCAAAAUAAAAAUUCAAAAUAAUUAAACCGAUCAAAUUUGUAGAAAUCGAGCCAAACCGAAAUUAUUUUGGUUUGGUUAGGUUGUUAUUUUCGUCAAUCUGAAAAUCGAAGAAUCAAACCGAUAUUAAACAACCAAAUCGAACAAACCGAAUGCCCACUCCUACGAAUACCAAGUAUAGUAAAUAUACUAUUAAAUAUUAUUUAUUUUACCAAUAUUUAAACUACUUAUAAUUAUGAAGAAUAAUAUAUUAAAAUUAUCUUUUUAAUUAUUAUCUUUUUAAUAAUUAUAUCAAGUCAAAUAUGAUCAACUAAAAAUUAACACAAAAAAUUACUAUAUUAAUAUGAUACCAGCGUUGAAUAUGAGCACAUUAUUAUUAUAAAUAAAAGUACCUUUUAGGACGACAUCAGUAAAUUCAAACACAUGAGACUGUAAGUUUCAUUUUUUGAAUGAAUGAAACUAAAUAAUUUUAAAUUUUAAUAAUUACUAUUAAAUACUGAUAACAAUAUUCGCAAACGAAAUUAUUGGUAGAUUCCCACCGUCCAAAUUAACUUAAUAUAAUAUCGUGUCAGCAAGCCUCAUUGUUAUAUACCAUUUGGCAUAAAAUUCUCAACAAAUUAAUUAUUAAGACAAUGAGACACAAUAUAGGGAAAAAAAUAAUUAAAAUGGACACAAAAUGUCAACAAUGGAGUGCUCUGAAUGAUGAAAUUAAGAUUAAAUUAAGGCUGCUCAUUACUGACUUCUAAGGGUGUGUUUGCGUACAAAGAAAAAUGUUCUCUAUGAAAUAAUAUUUCUUUGAAAAAACAAGUAGCUUCCGUUUUUUUUUUUAAAUAUGUAAAAAAUAUUAUCUCAAAAAUAUUCAUAAAUAAUCUAAAAAACACUAUAGAGAUAAGGCGAAGCGGAGAAUGAGGAUCGGAGGUAGUCAAAGGGUUGGGGUUGAGAGCGGCGGGAGGACAAUGAAUUUAAAAUAUGGUAUAGAGAACUUGUUUUUUCUACUCUCUUUAGAAAAAUUAUUUUUAUGAUAUUUAAGAAAUUUUGACAAUAGCAUCUAAAUGCAAUACAACAAAUGAGAUCUGAAAAUAGUAGUGUGUACGCAUAUCUUAUUCUUAUCUUAUGAGGGAAGAUAGAAAUACUCUUUUUAAUAGACCCUCGACUCAAGUAAAGUAUUUCAAAACAAGUGAAGAAGUCAUAUUGAAAAUAAUGAAAAGAUUCUUAAGAAACUUAAUUUUCUUAAAAUAUACGGAAAAAGGUCUAAAAUGCCCUUCAACUAUGUGAAAUGGUGCAAAAAUGUCCUCCGUCUACCUAUUGGGCCUAAAAUGUCAUUCACGUUUAUCUAUUGGGCCUAAAAUGUCCUUCAACUAUGUAAAAUGGUGCAAAAAACGCCCCGUCUACCUAUUGGGCCUAAAAUGCUCUUCAACUAUGUAAAAUGAUGCAAAAAUGCCCUCCGUCAUAAAAAUUCAUGGUAUAUUUAUAUCAUAAAAAUUCAUAAUAUAUUUAUAUCAUAAAAAUUCAUGAUAUAUUUAUAUAUUAUGCAUAUUAUAUUUAUAUCAUAAAAGUACAUGAUAUAUUUAUACCAUAUAAAUUAUAUUUAUGCCAUAUAAAUUAUAUUGAUACCAUAAACAUAUUUUGUAUAUUUUAGAUAUAAAAAGUUUACACCAUAUAAUACUGAAAAUAUAUAUUUAUAUUCAAUAAAUAAUUUUAUAACAAGAAAAGUACUUUCGAAAGAAUGAGAUAUACCAUGAAUAUUUAUCUUAUAAAUUAUAUAAAAAAUAUAAUAAUAAUUUGACUUUGACAUAAAUUAUAUUUACGGAACAAAAAUACAUGGUAUAUCUGUACUUCUAACAUAAUAAUUUUUAUUCCAUAAAUAUUUAUCCAUAAAAAAUUAUGGUUAAUCCAUUGUAUUACAAUUAAAAAUACACGAUAAUGAAAUAAUACUAGAUGAUUAACAUGAAGCAAAAUGAAACGCACACGAACAAAUAGUAGAAUACUUAGUUUAUUUAAAAAUAUUUGAAUUUUGAAUAUAAGAGAGAAAAAGAUUUGAAAGCAGAGAUUAUCUUUUCCACUUUUAAUUUGAAUAUUGAAAAAUAUCUCUCUUAAAUUAAGGUUGAAGGAGGGCAUUUUUGCACCAUUUUACAUAGUUGAAGGGCAUUUUAGGCCCAAUAGAUAGACGGAAGGCAUUUUUACACCAUUUUACAUAGUUGAAGAGCAUUUUAGGCCUAAUAACUAGACGUGAAGGGUAUUUUAGGCUCAAUAGAUAGACGGAGAACAUUUUUGCACCAUUUCACAUAAUUGAAAAAUAUUUUAGGCCUUUUUCCAUAAAAUAUAUUUUGAUAUUUUAACUAAUCAAGCAUGAAUGAAUUUUGUUCAGCAAAAGUUUACUCCAUAUACCAAACACACCCUAAAAUCACACUCCACUUUUUCCUAUAAAUACCAUCUAAAACUCCCAUAUAUCACACACCUCAAAGCAUUAUAAUCAUCUUAUCCUAAGCUCUUUUUUGUUUCUUUCUUUAUUCAAGGCAAAUUAAUCAAACAUUAUGGGUGCCUAUACCUUUACUAAUGAGUCCACAGUCCCAGUUGCCCCAUCAAGGCUAUUCAAAGCUUUGGUUAUUGAUUUUAACCACAUUGUAUGUAAAUUGAUGCCUGAUGUUGAGAGCAUUGAGAAUAUUGAGGGUGAUGGUGGUGCUGGAACCAUCAAGAAGGUCACCUUCGUGGAAGGU
RNAcentral lists this long non-coding RNA (7725 nucleotides) under Capsicum annuum. RNAcentral describes it as "long non-coding RNA (CANN_LNC005904)". The record is from RNAcentral. Lineage: Eukaryota; Viridiplantae; Streptophyta; Magnoliopsida; Solanales; Solanaceae.